RNAcentral lists this ribosomal RNA (497 nucleotides) under uncultured bacterium. RNAcentral's name for it is "partial 16S ribosomal RNA". It matches the Rfam family "Bacterial small subunit ribosomal RNA", at positions 28 to 507 of the family's 1533-position model. The record is from RNAcentral.
GAUGAACGCUGGCGGCGUGCCUAAUACAUGCAAGUCGAGCGAACGGACGAGAAGCUUGCUUCUCUGAUGUUAGCGGCGGACGGGUGAGUAACACGUGGAUAACCUACCUAUAAGACUGGGGUAACUUCGGGAAACCGUAGCUAAUACCGGAUAAUAUUUUGAACCGCAUGGUUCAAAAGUGAAAGACGGUCUUGCUGUCACUUAUAGAUGGAUCCGCGCUGCAUUAGCUAGUUGGUAAGGUAACGGCUUACCAAGGCAACGAUGCAUAGCCGACCUGAGAGGGUGGUCGGCCACACUGGAUCUGAGACACGGUCCAGACUCCUACGGGAGGCAGCAGUAGGGAAUCUUCCGCAAUGGGCGAAAGCCUGACGGAGCAACGCCGCGUGAGUGAUGAAGGUCUUCGGAUCGUAAAACUCUGUUAUUAGGGAAGAACAUAUGUGUAAGUAACUGUGCACAUCUUGACGGUACCUAAUCAGAAAGCCACGGCUAACUACGUG